UAUUAUGCGUUGAAAGAAUCGCAGUAGUAACUUAUAUCCCUGUUGCAGAGAGCUGAUGGUUGGUGUGAAUCAGUACAUAUACAAGUGCGAAUUACAAUUCUGGAGCUUCUUUUUCGUAGUGCUGUGCGAGCAUGAAGGAAAAGACGGAUUUUUCCGUUAUUAGCAACUGAGAAGUAAGCAUAUUUUUGCUUACAAAUAGGGUGGUACCGCGAUUUUUUCGCCCCUAUC
Molecule: non-coding RNA, 228 nt
Filed under: Bacillus gaemokensis
Lineage: Bacteria; Bacillati; Bacillota; Bacilli; Caryophanales; Bacillaceae
Description: T-box sequence
Rfam family: T-box leader
About the family: Uncharged tRNA acts as the effector for transcription antitermination of genes in the T-box leader family. T-boxes are found upstream of many aminoacyl-tRNA synthetase genes and some amino acid biosynthetic genes usually in Gram-positive bacteria.
Source: RNAcentral